Molecule: non-coding RNA, 85 nt
Organism: Neocucurbitaria cava
Lineage: Eukaryota; Fungi; Ascomycota; Dothideomycetes; Pleosporales; Cucurbitariaceae
Source: the annotation of a GenBank genome assembly
GGGCGUGUGGCUCAGUGGUAGAGCGUCCGCUUUGCAUUACACAAUGGUUUGCGGAAGGUCCGGGUUUCGAUCACCCGCCCGUCCA